RNAcentral lists this ribosomal RNA (972 nucleotides) under uncultured archaeon. RNAcentral describes it as "bacterial SSU rRNA". It matches the Rfam family "Archaeal small subunit ribosomal RNA", at positions 85 to 1058 of the family's 1478-position model. The record is from RNAcentral.
ACUGCUCAGUAACACGUGGACAACCUGCCCUUAGGUUGGGUAUAAACCCGGGAAACUGGGUAUAAUACCCGAUAGGUCUCGAUUGCUGGAAUGCAUCGAGAUUUAAAGCUCCGGCGCCUAAGGAUGGGUCUGCGGCCUAUCAGGUAGUAGUGGGUGUAGCGUACCUACUAGCCUACGACGGGUACGGGUUGUGAGAGCAAGAGCCCGGAGAUGGAUUCUGAGACACGAAUCCAGGCCCUACGGGGUGCAGCAGGCGCGAAAACUUUACAAUGCUGGCAACAGCGAUAAGGGAACCUCGAGUGCCAGGUUACAAAUCUGGCUGUCGAGAUGCCUAAAAAGCAUUUCAUAGCAAGGGCCGGGCAAGACCGGUGCCAGCCGCCGCGGUAACACCGGCGGCUCGAGUGGUAACCGUUAUUAUUGGGUCUAAAGGGUCUGUAGCCGGCCGGAUAAGUCUCUUGAGAAAUCURGCAGCUYAACUGUCRGGCUUUCAGGAGAUACUGUCUGGCUCGAGGCCGGGAGAGGUGAGAGGUACUUCAGGGGUAGGGGUGAAAUCUUGUAAUCCUUGAAGGACCACCAGUGGCGAAGGCGUCUCACCAGAACGGACCUGACGGCAAGGGACGAAAGCUAGGGGCACGAACCGGAUUAGAUACCCGGGUAGUCCUAGCCGUAAACGAUACUCGCUAGGUGUCGGCCACGGUGCGACCGUUGUCGGUGCCGUAGGGAAGCCGUGAAGCGAGCCACCUGGGAAGUACGGCCGCAAGGCUGAAACUUAAAGGAAUUGGCGGGGGAGCACCACAACGGGUGGAGCUUGCGGUUUAAUUGGAUUCAACGCCGGAAAUCUUACCAGGACCGACAGCAAUAUGAAGGCCAGGCUGAAGACUUUGCCGGAUUAGCUGAGAGGUGGUGCAUGGCCGUCGUCAGUUCGUACUGUGAAGCAUCCUGUUAAGUCAGGCAACGAGCGAGACCCCUGCC